Molecule: long non-coding RNA, 636 nt
Filed under: Elaeis guineensis (African oil palm)
Lineage: Eukaryota; Viridiplantae; Streptophyta; Magnoliopsida; Arecales; Arecaceae
Description: long non-coding RNA (EGUI_LNC002875)
Source: RNAcentral
UCUCUCUCUCUCUCUUAUUUCAAAUAGUCCAGCCAUUGAAAUUCUCUCUCUAAUCGAAAUCAACCUCCUUUCUCUCUCUAUCUCAUCGCCGAAGCACCAUCAACCCCAUAGCUCUCCACCCCUCUGUCAUUGAAAUCUCAUCCCCCACCUCCCUCUUUCUCAUCGAAAGGUAGCUCAGGGAAAGAUUAAAUUCAUUUCAAGUUGAACAAAGAUAAAAAUAAGAAAAUGAUUACAUUGUCAACAGCCUGUCGUUGGAAUUCUUUAUUCUCCAUCUCUUGAAUGCAAGGUACAUCUUAACCAUUGUAUAAUGCUUAGAGAAUAAACACAAGAUUGUAGCACAUAAAAAUAUACCUGAUAUGCAUCACUUGUAGUACAUUUGAUAUACAUCAAUAAAAGUAAAUUACAUUUUAAUUGCAUCCUCCUUUAAAUAGCAAUCACAAUAUAUAUUAUUUAGUAGAAUAUAUACAUUUGAAUAUUGUUUAUAUUAACUCUAUUCCAUUAGCAGUAACUAUACGAAUUACACAUAUAAUAGACAUAGAAAAUAUGUAUGAUAAUAACAUGAUGGCCAUUUUUAGUACACCAGAUAUAGUUUUAUAGGAGGACGAAGCAAUGGCGAUGAUUAUAUUUCACUCGAUG